CUGCCUUGCCCGUUGGAGUUGGGUCCACUCAUUCGGUGAGGAAAUUGGCAUGGGCUGGAAUGGGGAUUCAAUCACCGUGGGGCAAUUUGUAGGGUGGGAUGGGAUUGCUCUUAAGGCGGGCAAGGGAUCAAUACCGUAUACUGCGCUGGUAUACGAAAAGAACAGAUAGGAAGACGCUCUUUCUCUCCGUCUCAGUCUCAUAUCCGACGACAGACCGAGCAACCAGGGUUUAUUUGGCAACCAACGAACGAGUGAAGGCGAACACAGGCUCGAUCUCAUCGAUUAGUGCAUUGCAGAGGUAAUCGAUGGAGGCUGCUGGCGAUAUCAGUGCUCGCAAGGGAGUUACGGUUGGUGCUGUGUCCGCCCUUGUUUCCCAAUAUAACAAACUAUCAGUGUGUAACACCUCGGAGCAUCUCAUAAGUACUAGAAACUCUACGGGCAAGGAGGAGGACGAGGAUGCACAUCAACCGAGCUAUAAGGCUAAGAAGAAGAACAGAUAUCUGGCUGCCAAAAAGCCGGCCUAUCGUUCACCAAACAAGAACAAGGCGGCCUAUCAAUUUCCCGCUAUGCCACCAUGGCCAUGGCCAGUUGCUGAGGACAUGCCUGUUGAUGAAACCCCCUUUCCCGAAUGUCUCUACCUUUUGACUGAUGGUGAUGGUCGCAAGAUUGCAUUAUCUGAUGAGCCUUUUGACUUGGAAGAUUUUUAUAUGCUGAUCUAGAGAAGGCCGAUGCCAGGACGAGGGAGUACCUGAUCUGGAGGGAGGAGGAGAGGGAGAAGGAGAAGGAGGCUAAGUGCAGAAAGCCGCGAGGAACGAGGCUAGGAAAAAGGCGGGCCAUAAUUCGGGGUCUGGCGAAGUGACCCUACCCUUGAAGUAGGUAGGAGGAGAUUGUGUAACUUCUAUGGAUCGACACAAGGACUUGUCAAGGAGGUAGUCACUUCUAGCUAAGAUAUGUAAUAAGUGUUUUUACUUGUUCGUACUGUAUUUUCGGAACAAUUUGUAAUGUUGACGUUAAGUGUAUAUUCGAUAGCAUCUAUGCCUCAAAUUAUUUA
This is a non-coding RNA of Malus domestica (apple), 1051 nucleotides long. The record is from RefSeq and is a predicted model, not a curated record. NCBI's taxonomy places the organism in Eukaryota, Viridiplantae, Streptophyta, Magnoliopsida, Rosales, Rosaceae.